GUUGAGAGGAAUGUUGUCUGGCUCGAGGUCAUUGACGAGUAUAUUCGUAUAUAUAUAUAUAUACACUGAUAUAUGUGAAGUGUUUCAGUUUUCAGGGUAAAUUAAUGGAAAUUAAUUUAUACCCUAUAUGAUUCUCGGACCAGGCUUCAUUCCCCCCAGC
Molecule: microRNA precursor, 160 nt
Filed under: Vigna radiata var. radiata (mung bean)
Lineage: Eukaryota; Viridiplantae; Streptophyta; Magnoliopsida; Fabales; Fabaceae
Description: pre miRNA mir-166
Rfam family: mir-166 microRNA precursor family
About the family: This family represents the plant microRNA (miRNA) precursor mir-166. Animal miRNAs are transcribed as ~70nt precursors and subsequently processed by the Dicer enzyme to give a ~22nt product.
Source: Rfam by way of RNAcentral